GACGCACAAAGUGCCAGGAAAGAAUUAUUCAAGCUCUUCCCCAGAAGGCCUCCUUCUGGCAAGGGUACUGUACUAAACUAACUAAAGUGGGGGAUAGUGAGGGGAUAAAUUUUCUUAAGGAACUCGGCAAAAUCCCAAUGGCCCACCAGGGCAUAUUGGAACACGGGCCUCGACUGUUUACCAAAAACAUAGCCCUCGGCUAAUAUGAAAAUAGAUGUAUAGAGGGUGAUGCCUGCCCAAUGGUUGUAUCUAAAAGCGGUUGAUAAAAGUCGACCUCGUAAGGACAAUUGAAUGGCCGCGGUAACACUGACCGUGAUAAUGUAGCGUAAUCAAUAGCCAAUUAAUUGUUGGCCAGUAUGAAUGGCGCCACGAAGGCCCCACUGUCUUAAGGAAAUUCCCAGUGAAAUUGAAUUCGUAGUGAAGAUGCUACGUCCAAUUUGUUAGACGAAAAGACCCCGUUGAGCUUUACUGGGGCACUUACACGGCCCCGGCCUUCCCGUGUCCGGGAACCGGCCGAAUUUAAAUGGGUGGUUUAGACUAUGUGGCAGCCCCCCGCCGGGGCAGAUGAAACCCCACUCCCCCAUGUCAAAGGGGCUAACCCCCUCUUGGGGGGGAGAGUGUAAGUAGGACAGUUUGGUUGGGGCGACCGCCUUUUAAAGAGUAACGAAGGUGCGCUUAAGGUGCGCAAUUAAUGACUGAAGCCUGACUGCGAGGGGGACACCCCGAGCAGACACCCCUAAGCCCGCCCGAAGGGCGGCGGUGGGGUGGGCCAUAGUGACCCGUUAAUUUAGAGUGGAAUAGUUAACGAUCAACGAAUAAAAGUUACCACGGGGAUAACAGCGUAAUAUCGUUAGAGAGUUCACAUCGACGACGAUGUUUGCGACCUCGAUGUUGAAUUGCGGCAUCCUGGGGUGCAGCCGCUCCCAGGUUGU
RNAcentral lists this ribosomal RNA (932 nucleotides) under Palythoa mutuki. RNAcentral describes it as "partial 16S ribosomal RNA". It matches the Rfam family "Bacterial large subunit ribosomal RNA", at positions 1580 to 2575 of the family's 2925-position model. Lineage: Eukaryota; Metazoa; Cnidaria; Anthozoa; Zoantharia; Sphenopidae. The record is from RNAcentral.